Molecule: ribosomal RNA, 484 nt
Filed under: uncultured bacterium
Lineage: Bacteria
Description: partial 16S ribosomal RNA
Rfam family: Bacterial small subunit ribosomal RNA
Source: RNAcentral
AUUGAACGCUGGCGGCAGGCCUAACACAUGCAAGUCGAGCGGAUGAAGGGAGCUUGCUCCUGGAUUCAGCGGCGGACGGGUGAGUAAUGCCUAGGAAUCUGCCUGGUAGUGGGGGAUAACGUCCGGAAACGGGCGCUAAUACCGCAUACGUCCUGAGGGAGAAAGUGGGGGAUCUUCGGACCUCACGCUAUCAGAUGAGCCUAGGUCGGAUUAGCUAGUUGGUGGGGUAAAGGCUUACCAAGGCGACGAUCCGUAACUGGUCUGAGAGGAUGAUCAGUCACACUGGAACUGAGACACGGUCCAGACUCCUACGGGAGGCAGCAGUGGGGAAUAUUGGACGAAGGGCGAAAGCCUGAUCCAGCCAUGCCGCGUGUGUGAAGAAGGUCUUCGGAUUGUAAAGCACUUUAAGUUGGGAGGAAGGGCAGUAAGUUAAUACCUUGCUGUUUUGACGUUACCAACAGAAUAAGCACCGGCUAACUUCGUG